UCUAGACGGUAGCACUAUCUUGCCGCUGUAGAAGUCCUCAGGAUUGGGGAUAAAAUCCUUAUUUUAAAGCAUAUCAAAUGCAGAUCAAGGCAGACCAGAUGAGUUCUGGGCUGGGCAGGAAGAGGGUUAGGAGGCUUUGGGCUCAUUUGAAUUCCUAGCCCAGUCUCUUUUCCAUUUCCCAUUCUCCUGGAGAGAGAUGUUUCCAAACCACUAUCUGAACUGCCCCUGUGCUUGUGUUUUCUUGUCAUUAUAAUUAUCCUGGUUUGCUCUGCAACUCCAUUAUGCUGGACUCUCCAGAAGGCUGCUUAGUGCUGUGUGCAGAUGAAAUAAACAAGGCCCCGCUGUCUCAGGGCAGCAGGAAAGGGAGAGAAAGUUGAAGUUUACAUAUGAAAAUUGAAGUGGAAGAGUUGAAGCUACCAUUUGCCCAAUUCAGGCUGAAACCUUUGGCCACAACUAUUUCGCUGCGGGUUUGGAGGAGGCAAACUCCGAAACAGAAAGUUGGAACCCUUGGCUCCCAAGCAGGGAUGCAGGAGAGAAGGACCUGGCGCAGGACGAGAGGCUUCACUGGGUCACCCUGUCUCGGAAGCUGGCUUUCCCCACCCUCUAUGGACAGACUAGAGUCUUAGACUGUCAACUCCUAGAGUGCCAGAAGCCUGUCACAGUCCUUUUGCACCUCACACAGGAGUGGAACUGAACAAGAAUGCUUUGAUGGCUGAAGCCAUCCAUCCCUUGGGUUUAAGGACAACCCAGGAACCGCCUGUGACCAGGUGUACUGUUUGAGCAACGUGAGUUGGACAGAGCAAAAAGAAAUGUCAAUGAGGGCUGGGGAUUUAGCUCAGUGGUUCUGGCACCUGCCUCACAAGUGCAAGGACCUGAGUUCAAUCCCUGGUACCAAAAGAAAAGAAAAGAAAUGUCAGUGAAAUCAUAAGGAGCCUACUCUGGGCAGAAGCUUGGCAUUCCCUGCAUUACUGGCACUCACCACCGCACUUCUUGUCAGCCAUUAUUCUACAAAUGCUUGCUGCUGGAGAAGGACGGAUAAAAUGUAUUGAGGUUUACAGGCCAUGGGUCUUCUUUUUUUUUCAAAUUUUUUUUUCAGUUUUAAGGGUCUUCUUUUUUGUGGGGGAGC
Molecule: long non-coding RNA, 1126 nt
Organism: Fukomys damarensis (Damara mole-rat)
Lineage: Eukaryota; Metazoa; Chordata; Mammalia; Rodentia; Bathyergidae
Exons: 3
Source: RefSeq, a predicted model, not a curated record